Molecule: ribosomal RNA, 253 nt
Filed under: uncultured bacterium
Lineage: Bacteria
Description: partial 16S ribosomal RNA
Rfam family: Bacterial small subunit ribosomal RNA
Source: RNAcentral
UACGUAGGGUGCAAGCGUUAAUCGGAAUUACUGGGCGUAAAGCGUGCGUAGACGGUUACAUAAGUCGGGUGUGAAAGCCCUGGGCUCAACCCAGGAAGUGCACUCGAAACUGCUCGGCUUGAGUAUGGAAGAGGGUUGCGGAAUUCCCGGUGUAGAGGUGAAAUUCGUAGAUAUCGGGAGGAACACCAGUGGCGAAGGCGGCAACCUGGGCCAAUACUGACGCUGAGGUGCGAAAGCGUGGGGAGCAAACAGG